RNAcentral lists this long non-coding RNA (197 nucleotides) under Phasianus colchicus (ring-necked pheasant). RNAcentral's name for it is "lncRNA (ENSPCLG00000009119.1)". The record is from RNAcentral. Lineage: Eukaryota; Metazoa; Chordata; Aves; Galliformes; Phasianidae.
UAAGACUCCAUUGCAUGCUGAGAGAUGCUGACACGAGGAGCUGCUGGAAAUGAAAGGUGCAGGAGCACGGGUAACAGCCUAAGAAGAAAGUAUGCAGCUACCUGGGAGUAGAGAACUCUUGCAAGUAAACCUGUAGAGUAAGGACUUAGAGUGGAAUUGUUGUCUAUUUGCUGGUAAGUGCUUUAGAGUAUCCUGCU